This 341-nucleotide long non-coding RNA is filed under the name Physcomitrium patens. Its description in RNAcentral is "long non-coding RNA (PPAT_LNC000235)". The record is from RNAcentral. Lineage: Eukaryota; Viridiplantae; Streptophyta; Bryopsida; Funariales; Funariaceae.
AUGUAAUUCUAAUUAUAACCUUUAUUAAAUCUUAACCAAAUCCUAGCUGAAAUCCUAAUGAAACUCCAAUAAAAUCCUAAAUCUUAAAGAAAUCCUAUAUAAGUUCUAAACCAAAUCCUAAGCAAACUCUCAUCCUAACCAAAUCCUAGACCAAAUCCUAAACCAAAUCCUAAUCAAAUCUUAGAUCUUAAAUAAAUUCUUAACAAAUCCUAUAGCAAAAUGGAACAUCAAAAACUAAUGAUCAAACUAUUGAUAUCAAUUCAAAACUUGAACACUUCUUAAUGUCUUAAUUAGAAACAAGCACAAGAAAAAUGAUAUCAAUCGUACUUAUUAAUUUAAAG